Molecule: ribosomal RNA, 426 nt
Filed under: Peribacillus sp.
Lineage: Bacteria; Bacillati; Bacillota; Bacilli; Caryophanales; Bacillaceae
Description: bacterial SSU rRNA
Rfam family: Bacterial small subunit ribosomal RNA
Source: RNAcentral
GAGAGUCUGACGGAGCAACGCCGCGUGAACGAAGAAGGCCUUCGGGUCGUAAAGUUCUGUUGUUAGGGAAGAACAAGUACCAGAGUAACUGCUGGUACCUUGACGGUACCUAACCAGAAAGCCACGGCUAACUACGUGCCAGCAGCCGCGGUAAUACGUAGGUGGCAAGCGUUGUCCGGAAUUAUUGGGCGUAAAGCGCGCGCAGGUGGUUCCUUAAGUCUGAUGUGAAAGCCCACGGCUCAACCGUGGAGGGUCAUUGGAAACUGGGGAACUUGAGUGCAGAAGAGGAAAGUGGAAUUCCAAGUGUAGCGGUGAAAUGCGUAGAGAUUUGGAGGAACACCAGUGGCGAAGGCGACUUUCUGGUCUGUAACUGACACUGAGGCGCGAAAGCGUGGGGAGCAAACAGGAUUAGAUACCCCCAGUAGU